CCUACGGGAGGCAGCAGUGAGGAAUAUUGGUCAAUGGGCGCUAGCCUGAACCAGCCAAGUAGCGUGAAGGAUGACUGCCCUACGGGUUGUAAACUUCUUUUAUAAGGGAAUAAAGUGCAGUACGUAUACUUUUUUGCAUGUACCUUAUGAAUAAGGAUCGGCUAACUCCGUGCCAGCAGCCGCGGUAAUACGGAGGAUCCGAGCGUUAUCCGGAUUUAUUGGGUUUAAAGGGAGCGUAGGCGGGUUGUGAAGUCAGUUGUGAAAGUUUGCGGCUCAACCGUAAAAUUGCAGUUGAUACUGGCAGUCUUGAGUACAGUAGAGGUAGGCGGAAUGCGUGGUGUAGCGGUGAAAUGCGU
Molecule: ribosomal RNA, 356 nt
Filed under: uncultured bacterium
Lineage: Bacteria
Description: partial 16S ribosomal RNA
Rfam family: Bacterial small subunit ribosomal RNA
Source: RNAcentral